GACGAACCGUGCGAACGUUGUUCGGAAUCACUGGGCUUAAAGGGCGCGUAGGCGGGCUCACAAGUCAGGGGUGAAAGCCCACGGCUCAACCGUGGAAGUGCCUUUGAUACUGUGGGUCUGGAGGGAGGUAGGGGCGUGCGGAACUUCCGGUGGAGCGGUGAAAUGCGUAGAUAUCGGAAGGAACACCGGUGGCGAAAGCGGCGCACUGGACCUCUUCUGACGCUGAGGCGCGAAAGCCAGGGGAGCAAACGGG
Molecule: ribosomal RNA, 253 nt
Filed under: uncultured bacterium
Lineage: Bacteria
Description: partial 16S ribosomal RNA
Rfam family: Bacterial small subunit ribosomal RNA
Source: RNAcentral